GACAGAGGUGCCAAGCGUUAGGCGGAAUCACUGGGCUUAAAGCGUGUGUAGGCGGGUGCCUAAGUACCUUGUGAAAUCCCACGGCUCAACCGUGGAACUGCUGGGUAUACUGGGUGCCUUGGGUCAUCUAGGGGCUGCCGGAACAAAUGGUGGAGCGGUGAAAUGCGUAGAUAUCAUUUGGAACGCCAACGGCGAAAGCAGGCAGCUGGGGAUGCACCGACGCUGAGACACGAAAGCCAGGGGAGCGAACGGG
RNAcentral lists this ribosomal RNA (253 nucleotides) under uncultured bacterium. RNAcentral's name for it is "partial 16S ribosomal RNA". It matches the Rfam family "Bacterial small subunit ribosomal RNA", at positions 524 to 776 of the family's 1533-position model. The record is from RNAcentral.